UACAGAGGUCCCAAGCGUUGUUCGGAUUCACUGGGCGUAAAGGGUGCGUAGGUGGCCAGGAAAGUCUGAUGUGAAAUCUCCGAGCUCAACUCGGAAAUGGCAUUGGAAACUAUCUGGCUAGAGGGUCGGAGGGGGGACUGGAAUUCUCGGUGUAGCAGUGAAAUGCGUAGAUAUCGAGAGGAACACCAGUGGCGAAGGCGAGUCCCUAGACGACUCCUGACACUGAGGCACGAAAGCUAGGGGAGCAAACAGG
This 253-nucleotide ribosomal RNA is filed under the name uncultured bacterium. Its description in RNAcentral is "partial 16S ribosomal RNA". It matches the Rfam family "Bacterial small subunit ribosomal RNA", at positions 524 to 776 of the family's 1533-position model. The record is from RNAcentral.